GUGGGAAUAUUGGUCAAUGGGCGCAAGCCUGAACCAGCGAUGCCGCGUGUGCGAAGAAGGCCCUAGGGUUGUAAAGCACUUUCAGUCGUGAAGAAAACCUGAUGAUUAAUAAUCAUCGGUCUUGACGUUAGCGACAGAAGAAGAUCCGGCUAACUCCGUGCCAGCAGCCGCGGUAAUACGGAGGGAUCGAACGUUAAUCGGAAUUACUGGGCGUAAAGCGCGCGUAGGCGGUUCGAUAAGUGGAGUGUGAAAUCCCUGGGCUCAACCUGGGAACUGCAUUCCAAACUGUCGGGCUAGAGUAUGGUAGAGGGAGGUAGAAUUUCUUGUGUAGCGGUGAAAUGCGUAGAUAUAAGAAGGAAUACCGAUGGCGAAGGCAGCCUCCUGGACCAAUACUGACGCUGAGGUGCGAAAGCGUGGGGAGCAAACAGG
RNAcentral lists this ribosomal RNA (429 nucleotides) under uncultured bacterium. RNAcentral describes it as "bacterial SSU rRNA". It matches the Rfam family "Bacterial small subunit ribosomal RNA", at positions 355 to 776 of the family's 1533-position model. The record is from RNAcentral.